UUUAGCCUACAAUUUGGGCUCACAAAAUAAUAAGAAAAAUGAGGCCCAAUUUGAGAUAGGGUGGCCGGCCAAGAGGCCUUUGGCCCAAGCCCACCAAUUAGUCAUGUGACUAAUUAUAUUAAGAGAUAAGACUUCAAGAAACUUCAAGAAAAUUCAAGCAAAAACAAGAACAAAAAAAAAAGAGAGGGGCAAUCGGCCAAAGAGGAAGAGAAAGAGAAAAAGAAAAGAAAAUUUCUUGGAGCUAAAUUCUUGGUUCAAAAAUCCAUUUCUUGUGGGAUUAUUACUAAGUGCAAGAUUCUCUACAACUUGGUACAAUUAUUUUGGCAAGAAACUAUCUUUGGUAGCAAGGAGAAUUUGUUGGUAAAAAGAUUCUGGACGAGAUUGGAAUCGAAGCCAAGCGAGCGUAAGGCGCAAUCGAGGUACAGACGCACCUGAAGAUACGCCGCCAGUCUAGG
Lycium barbarum (goji berry) is the source of this 455-nucleotide long non-coding RNA. RefSeq lists it as uncharacterized. The transcript is spliced from 3 exons. NCBI's taxonomy places the organism in Eukaryota, Viridiplantae, Streptophyta, Magnoliopsida, Solanales, Solanaceae. The record is from RefSeq and is a predicted model, not a curated record.